ACCUGGUUGAUCCUGCCAGUAGUCAUAUGCUUGUCUCAAAGAUUAAGCCAUGCAUGUCUCAGUGCAAGCCGUCCUAAGGCGAAACCGCGAAUGGCUCAUUAAAUCAGUUAUGGUUCCUUGGAUCCUACUUUCCGUACUUGGAUAACUGUGGUAAUUCUAGAGCUAAUACAUGCAAACAGAGCCGUGUCCAGAAAUGGGCAGGGCGCACUUAUUAGAUCAAAACCAAUCGGUCGGUUCGCCGUCCGUGGUCUUGGUGACUCUGAAUAAUUACCACUGAUCGCACGGCCUUUGUGCCGGCGACGUAUCCUUCGAAUGUCUGCCUUAUCAACUGUCGAUGGUAGGUUCUGCGCCUACCAUGGUUGUAACGGGUAAACGGGGAAUCAGGGUUCGAUUCCGGAGAGGGAGCCUGAGAAACGGCUACCACAUCCAAGGAAGGCAGCAGGCGCGCAAAUUACCCACUCCCGGCACGGGGAGGUAGUGACGAAAAAUAACGAUACGGGACUCAUCCGAGGCCCCGUAAUCGGAAUGAGAACACUCUAAAUCUUUUAAGCGAGUACCCUAAU
Molecule: ribosomal RNA, 563 nt
Filed under: Siphluriscus sp. BYU IGCEP241
Lineage: Eukaryota; Metazoa; Arthropoda; Insecta; Ephemeroptera; Siphlonuridae
Description: SSU rRNA
Rfam family: Eukaryotic small subunit ribosomal RNA
Source: RNAcentral